This 253-nucleotide ribosomal RNA is filed under the name uncultured bacterium. RNAcentral's name for it is "partial 16S ribosomal RNA". It matches the Rfam family "Bacterial small subunit ribosomal RNA", at positions 524 to 776 of the family's 1533-position model. The record is from RNAcentral.
GACAGAGGUGCCAAGCGUUAGGCGGAAUCACUGGGCUUAAAGCGUGUGUAGGCGGAAUGGUAAGUACCUUGUGAAAUCCCACGGCUCAACCGUGGAACUGCUUGGUAUACUGCUUUUCUUGAGCCACUUAGGGGCAACCGGAACAAAUGGUGGAGCGGUGAAAUGCGUAGAUAUCAUUUGGAACGCCAAUGGUGAAAACAGGUAGCUGGGGCUGUGCUGACGCUGAGACACGAAAGCCAGGGGAGCGAACGGG